UCUAGCGGAACUGCCAGCGUAAGCUGCGAGGAAGUGGGGAUGACGUCAAAUCAGCACGGCCCUUACGUCCAGGGCUACACACGUGUUACAAUGGCCAGUACAGAGGGCAGCCACCCCGCGAGGGGGCGCUAAUCCUAAAAGCUGGUCCCAGUUCGGAUCGGAGUCUGCAACCCGACUCCGUGAAGCUGGAUUCGCUAGUAAUCGCGCAUCAGCCACGGCGCGGUGAAUACGUUCCCGGGCCUU
RNAcentral lists this ribosomal RNA (243 nucleotides) under uncultured Rikenellaceae bacterium. RNAcentral's name for it is "partial 16S ribosomal RNA". It matches the Rfam family "Bacterial small subunit ribosomal RNA", at positions 1139 to 1382 of the family's 1533-position model. Lineage: Bacteria; Pseudomonadati; Bacteroidota; Bacteroidia; Bacteroidales; Rikenellaceae. The record is from RNAcentral.